This 2979-nucleotide long non-coding RNA is filed under the name Arabidopsis lyrata. Its description in RNAcentral is "long non-coding RNA (ALYR_LNC002544)". Lineage: Eukaryota; Viridiplantae; Streptophyta; Magnoliopsida; Brassicales; Brassicaceae. The record is from RNAcentral.
UAGCAAGGUACAAGAAGAGCGUCUCCAAGUAGUAGUUGCUCUUUGUUGAUAUCUAGUAGUACUUUAGAUUAUUCCUGUGAAAUCAACCAUUGUCAUUUAAGUCAUACUCCCAUUGUCUAGGUAACAAAUAAUCCGCAGCAAAACAUGGCAAGUUAAAUUGAUAAUGAAUUUCUUACCCUAACCAGAGUUUAUUCCAAGAUCCAAAUUGUCUAACUCUAACUUAACUCUACACAUAUCGACCUGACAUUAAGUGAAUUUAAGAGAUUUAUUUCAACACCAUACAAACCAAAUCUUAGGAAAAGAGAAAGAAAAGGUUCUUCUUACUAUUAUCUAGCCAUUAAUCCACCAAAGUAUAUUGCGUAACUAAAUCAAGAAGGAGAGACACACUAAACCGAGAAGCAAUUAUCCAGGGACGAAGGAGAGUACUGAUCAGCUUGGCCUUUGUGUCGUUUGAGAUUGAGCGACGGCGUCACGGUUCUAAGAAAACUCUCAAUUGCUUUUAAUGUUGUUACAAGAAACAAAUAGUCAAAAACAAAAAUCUCUUAAUUGCUUUUAAUGUUGUUCUUCUUCUUCGUUGACGCCUACCUAAGCUUAAAAGAUCAAAAACAAAAGAUCCAUUUUUACCAAAUGUGUGCAGUAAUUAAAGACACAAACACAAAACCACGUGAUCAAUAAUCACUAAAGAGAAAAUCAAUUAUUCACCUUUGCUUCCUUCUUCUUCAUCGUUCUCCUCUUUACCAUCUUCAGCAAUUUCAAGUUUUUUCGAAAGUUUCUCCUUUCCACUUGAUGAUUUCAGCGCUGCCAUUCUCCACCACGGAACCUACAACAACAUCUUUAAUCGAUUCUCAAUUUAAUAACAAAUACUAACCAAAACUCCAACAAAUAAACCUUAAUUGAUGAGAAUCGCAGAAAUAGCUACACACCAAAGAAGAAGUAAACGGUAACCUUUUGAUAGAGAGCACAUUGAAAUCAAAAGAAUCCCGAGUAAAGAACAACAACUAACUCAAAAGAUAAAAAAAACUCUAAUUUCACUUAUUAUAUCAAGUAAAAGCAACGACCAAUCCUAAAUGUUCCAAACAAAAAAUCAUCUGAUUAAUUAUAGAUAUCGAUCUAUUUGUAAUUAUUGAAGGGUCAUGCUUGUAGAAUAUUGACUUGAUUUCUAAUUUCACAAAUGAAUUCCCAAACCCAACGAACCUGGAAUUGAAAUCCACAAAUCAACCAAUUUUAAUUUGUUAUAGGGAUUUCCUAAAAUUGUCUAUGUUUCUCGUAAUGGCUUUGUGUUUAAUUGGUCGUAAUCGAGUUGUGUAAGUGAGGGUACGCGAGAUUUAAGCUAUGACAUUGGAGAAGAUAGAUGAGAGUUGCAGAGAUAAGCCAUCGUUCGCCCUAAAAUUCUCUCCCAGGCACGAGAACCAAGGAGCCGCUCCUCUUGACGAAAUGAGCUUCUUCUUCCGGCGUUGCUCCUCCGACAACGUCCUCUCCUGAUCGGUGCUUGCUGCUAAGGGGAGAUCUCUCAGGUGGACCUCUUUGUCCGGUGACGGACCUGUUUUUCCGGCGAGUUUUUUUUCACCUAAGAUGACGUUCUCUCCUCUGUCGACUUCGAGCCGCUCUAGUUGCUUACCGAUGUCUUCGGUUGCUUUCCUCAAUCUGAGGCCCACUCGUGCACCACCGCCGCAGCCUCCGUCUCCGCCGACUCCACCAGACCCGCAGAUCUGCCUCUCCUUUGGUGAAUCUCUUUCUCAACCGCCGAGCUUCACUUCCUUCAGCGCGUUUGACUCACUCCUCCAACUCUCCUCCGCCAGAACUAGCUUUCCAACGACGGCGAGUGUUUCUCACCUGCCAACAAAGGUGCCCCUCACCGUUGGUUGGCAGCCUCCCGACGAGUCUCCUUUUGCAAUCUGUUUUGGAGAUCUUGAUGCUCGUCACUGCCCAACCUCUUCAACCAUAGCCUACUUCAGUGAUGGUUGUCAUCUCGUCGACGCCCACACCUUCCCUCCUCAGACAUUCCCCCAAGUAUGCUCUAGCUCUAGCUCUAGCUCUUCACCCUCUAAUUCUUUUAGGAUGGAAAGAAUUAUUUGGAUGUUCGUUGAGUUUUUGGCUUUGGUUUUGUGGAACUCUGAUCUAGCUUAUUCAGUUUUGAUGGGCUUGGAUACUCUUGUGUCUACUUUUGUGCUCUCUUGUAGCACUCUUAUCGCUUUGAUGCGAUCACUUACUGCAGUAUGCAGAGUUUAUCUCGAUUUUGCUUUGUUACAAGUUGUUUCGUGGCAGCUUGGACAAAGAUGUUUGAGUAUUGACAACAACCGACCAGUUCACCUGGGUCAUUGGGGCUUUCACAGCCCUCAUCUCUCCUCUAAGGAGCUUAUUAUCCUCCCAAAUACUUCACUUGUGUUUAGUGGUAUUGUUGCAGGGAGCAUUGUGUUGAAGACUGUUCUACUUGAUGUAGAAGCGAGGAUCAUUGUUCAAGAUUGUUCUCGUUCAGCUUUUGCUGACUGUUUGGCGUCAGGACCUAUGGAGGCUUUGUUUUCUCCUCCUUGUGGUUUCAACAAGGUCUUCCAAUCUAAAGAUGUUUGCUUUGUUGGAUGCUCUUGGUUGGAUGCCUCUUUGGUAGAACUUUUUAGUUCACCUUUAUCCCAAAGUCUCAUUUUGAGCUUUGUUGUUGCUGUUAGCUUUUACUCUUUCUCGACCUCUAUGUAUGCCGUUGUCUCGGUUUAUCCGGCUCUUUGUAGCCUUGUAUCCUCUCUUAGUAGAGGUUAAACUCAUUUCUAUUAUAUGAUAUGUUUAGUUUGUCCAAAAAAAAAGAUGAGAGUUGCAGAGAUGGAGAAAAGUUGUAAAAAUUGAGAGAGAGAGAGAGAGAGAGAGAGAGAGAGAGAGAGAGAGAGAGAGAGAGAGAGAGAGAGAGAGAGAGAGCAAUGAGAGCGGGGAGAGAGAUGGAGCAGAGUUGCAGAGCUUUGAUGGAGAGAGAAACCGAGAGAUGAAACGAAU